Molecule: long non-coding RNA, 589 nt
Organism: Labrus mixtus (cuckoo wrasse)
Lineage: Eukaryota; Metazoa; Chordata; Actinopteri; Labriformes; Labridae
Exons: 4
Source: RefSeq, a predicted model, not a curated record
ACACACAACCUCCUCACAGACAUUAUCAUGAAGUAAUAAUGAGGUCAUUUAUAGAUGUUAUCAUGAGGUAAUCAUGAGGUUAUUUAUAGACUUUAUCAGGAGGUAAUAAUGAGGUUAUUUAUUGACGUUAUCAUGAGGUAAUAAUGAGGUUAUUUAUAGAUGUUAUCGUGAGGUAAUAAUGAGGUCAUUUAUAGACCUUAUCACGAGGUAAUAAUGAGGUUAUUUAUAGACGUUAUCAUGAGGUAAUAUUGAGCUUAUUUAUUGACGUUAUCAUGAGGUAAUAAUGAGGUUAUUUAGAGACGUUAUCACGAGGUAAUAAUGAGCUUAUUUAGAGACGUUAUCACGAGGUAAUAAUGAGGUUAUUUAGAGACGUUAUCACGAGGUAAUAAUGAGGUCAUUUAUUGACGUUAUCACGAGGUAAUAAUGAGGUCAUUUAUUGACGUUAUCACGAGGUAAUAAUGAGGUCAUUUAUUGACGUUAUCACGAGGUAAUAAUGAGGUCAUUUAUAGACGUUAUCAUGAGGUAAUAAUGAGGUUAUUUAGGAUAGAGGUUAUAACCUGUAGUGGACUGAAGUACUCCUGAGCUGCAG